RNAcentral lists this ribosomal RNA (351 nucleotides) under uncultured bacterium. RNAcentral describes it as "bacterial SSU rRNA". It matches the Rfam family "Bacterial small subunit ribosomal RNA", at positions 8 to 349 of the family's 1533-position model. The record is from RNAcentral.
AGAGUUUGAUCAUGGCUCAGGAUGAACGCUAGCUACAGGCUUAACACAUGCAAGUCGAGGGGAAACGACAUCGAAAGCUUGCUUUUGAUGGGCGUCGACCGGCGCACGGGUGAGUAACGCGUAUCCAACCUGCCCAUCACUUGGGGAUAACCUUGCGAAAGUAAGACUAAUACCCAAUGAUAUCUCUAGAAGACAUCUGAAAGAGAUUAAAGAUUUAUCGGUGAUGGAUGGGGAUGCGUCUGAUUAGCUUGUUGGCGGGUAACGGCCCACAAGGCUACGAUCAGUAGGGGUUCUGAGAGGAAGGUCCCCCANAUUGGAACUGAGACACGGUCCAAACUCCGUACGGGAGCA